UCUAUAUACUGCUAAGUACCACCGUAUAAUUUACUGGCAUCCCUCCCUGGUGUUCAACUUAAAUAAAGGAAAGCCUGGGCCAAAGAUAGAAUCCAGACCUGAGUUUUCCCAUGUGCUCAAGGAACAGAGUUUGCACAUUGGCAAAGACAAGAAACUGAGUUUUUUCAUCUCAGAAUACAAUAGAACUUCAUUUGGCCUGAGUAAAACCAUCCUAAAGUAAUAAUUACUACACGAUGCAAACUCCAAAGUCACCAGGAAUUGGUCUGGGUGUUCCAGAUGCGGCUGGUAAUGACUUUGGGAUCUAGUUAGACUGCUGUUUGCUCAUGCGGGUUCUCUCCAGCAUGUUGUGUCAGUUUGACUAGAUGUGGUUUAGAUUUAACUAACAAUGUAUUAGCACAUGGCCUAUUUCUGGUCUUAUUGACUUUCAUCUUUACCUUUUUAAACUGUUUUUUGUUAACAUAGGAAGAGCAGAGGGGUUUUCUCAUAUAAUUUUGAAGCUGCUUUGGUUCAGUUCAAUUUCUUCAGAUUAUCUGUAAAUUUUCAAUAAUGGCAAUACAUUCAUUCUGCCAUUUGGAGGAGCCUGUGCCACAGAAUAAUGAUGUGAAGGAAGCUCACUUAUUUGCAAGGAAGAGUCCUCAUUUGGGAACAGUACAGCUGCAGCUAAGAGGUGCUUUGUCAAGUUCAGGUCUUUGACAUUCAGUGGGAUGAGAAUCUCAGAACAGACUGACUACUGGGGACUCCCAAGCUACAGUUCAGCUGGUCCCCGCUUUCUCCAGGGAGAGGGUAGCUCCGUUGUGUGUGUUGCAACAGUCCAGUGCAGUUUGUAACCUACAGCCUUAAAGUCACUCAGAACUGGCAAUAUAGACUGUGAGAGAAACAGGUGCAUCUGAAGUCCAUCGUCUUGUUUAAGAAAAAUGUUCAGUAAUCCCUGUAACUGGUGUCACAGGUAUCCUAAACAACUGGGGGCAAAUUUCUGCACCUCUUGAAUUUGUAAAGAAACCAUUUUGGUAGGUGAGGGCUGCUUGUCAGAAAUACAUACCAAAGCUUGAAUGCAAAACAAGCAUGAUAUUAAUGAUGGAUUUGGAUGGAUCUCUUAAGGAUAACAAUGGAUAUGGCAUCUUCAGAAGUAGUGGCAUUCAGGCCCUAAUCCUGCCACUGGAUUUGUUCCAAUGGACCUCGGUAGCCAUGGGGCCUGGCUGAGUCAGUGGGACCCUGGAUGACUGCAAGUUUCUACUCUGAAGAUGUGACUGUAGGCCUGAACCUAAAUUUCUGUCUUAUUCCCCUGUCUAUUUGCUUCUAAUUGAUGAAAAUUAUCCUACAAAACGGUAUUGUCGUCGAGUCUCAUGCACGUGUACUUUAGUAGCAUUCAGACACCGUGUGCUUGGGGUGUUGUCAGACAUCGUUAAAAUAUUUCUGCUGUCAUGUGCCAAAAACUCAGGAUUGCCAUGAUUAUUGUGUUAUAUUUUUACAUUCAGUGGCUUCCUACCUAAAACAGAGGAGAUUGUCACCUGUGUUUUCUAUCGUUGUGGUAUGUCUCUUAACUCAGAUUUUAAAGUCAGAGUAACUGUUGGGACUUAUUUUUAAAGGUGUUGGUAGAUUUGUUUUUUAUUUGUUGGACACAAAGUACAUCUAUUUUAUUUUAUUUUAUUUUUCAAUGUGCUAUUUUCUUAGUAGCCUACUAUUACUGAAAGCAUUCAACAUAAUGACACACUGUGAUGCAGACCAAUAAAAUAAAUAGGAAAAAGCAUUAACUUUUA
Calidris pugnax (ruff) is the source of this 1757-nucleotide long non-coding RNA. RefSeq lists it as uncharacterized. NCBI's taxonomy places the organism in Eukaryota, Metazoa, Chordata, Aves, Charadriiformes, Scolopacidae. The record is from RefSeq and is a predicted model, not a curated record. The transcript is spliced from 8 exons.